CCUGACUCAGCCGCAGACAUUAGUGCUAGGAAGAUGGCGCACCCGGCAAUGUUUCCUAGAAGGGGCAGCAGCAGUAGCAGCGGCAGCAGCUGCGUUACUGCUCCCACUGCACCAGGUACCGGCGUUGGGAGCGCUGCCCUCUCCGCCGAGGAUUAUCAGCCGCCUUUGCUGGUCCAGCCGCCGCCUCCAUCUCCUGCAGCAUCUUCAUCAGCGGGUCCACAGCCGACACCCCCUCCUCCACAAAGCCUGAACCUCCUCUCGCAGUCUCAGCUCCAGCCACAGCCUCUUGCACAGACUGGAGCUCAAAUGAAAAAGAAAAGUGGCUUCCAAAUUACCAGUGUGACCCCUGCUCAAAUAUCAGCUAGCAUGAGCUCUAAUAACAGCAUAGCGGAAGAUACAGAAAGCUACGAUGACCUGGAUGAGUCCCAUACUGAAGACCUGUCGUCUUCAGAAAUCUUGGAUGUUUCUUUAUCCAGGGCCACUGACUUGGGAGAACCUGAGAGGAGCUCCUCUGAAGAGACUUUAAAUAACUUCCAAGAGGCAGAGACUCCAGGGGCUGUUUCUCCAAACCAGCCUCAUAUUCCUCAGCAGCAUGCUCCUCUGCCUCAUCACCCACAGCAGAGUGUUGUGAUCAAUGGCAGUGUUCACCCCCAUCACGUUCAUCACCACCACCAUCUUCACCACCACCAUCAUGGACACCAUCAUCCAUCGCAUCCUGGGGUGGGCAGUGCCCCAGUUUCUGGAGGACCACUGCCCAGUCCAUCGUUUAGGAAACUAUCAACAACUGGAAGCUCUGACAAUGUUAUAUCAACUGCACCAGUUUCUGCUGCAUCAUCCACUGGUUCCCCAGCACCUGUCGUGUCUAAUAUCCGCACUACAAGUACUCCUGGCAAUUUAGGUGUAAGUCCUGCUACUGGAACUAGUACCUUAAAUAAUAUGGGUGGCGGUAGUUCUAGUGUGGCAAGCAGCAUGCUUGGUACUAUAAAUUUAAGCAACAUCACGAGUACUGGUAACGUAAAUGCUUUGUCUGGAACUAGCAGCAAUGUUAAUGUGAAUAUCUUGAGUGGUGUUGGCAAUGGUACGAGUGCUUCCUCUAGUGUCAUUAACAAUGUUACUAAUCCAGCUGCAGGAAUGGCAGUGGGAUCAAGCCAGCAGCAGCCUGCAUCUGGCACGUCAAGGUUUAGGGUUGUAAAAUUAGAUUCUAGUUCUGAACCUUUCAAAAAAGGUAGAUGGACAUGCACUGAAUUCUAUGAUAAAGAAAACACUGUUGCAGUUUCAGAAGGAGUAGCAGUAAACAAAGCAGUAGAGACGAUAAAACAAAACCCGCUUGAAGUGACUUCUGAAAGGGAGAGCACCAGUGGGAGUUCUGUUAGCAGCAAUGUAAGCACACUGAGUCACUAUACAGAAAGUGUGGGAAGUGGAGAAAUGGGAGCACCUACUGUGGUACAGCAGCAAGCGUUUCAAGGUGUGGGUCCGCAGCAGAUGGAUUUUAGCAGCGCUGCUCCUCCGGCAAUUCCAGCAUCUAGUAUACCACAGAGUGUUUCUCAAUCACAGCUUGCACAAGUCCAGCUGCAUUCUCAAGAAGUAAACUAUCCACAGCAGAAGCCAGGGGUCCAACCUCCUGCACAGGCCAGUCUAACCACUGUUACUGGGGUUCAGCCAGCCCCAGUUAAUAUACUAGGUGUAUCCCCAUCUCUGGGCCACCAGCAACCUGCCAUUCAAAGUAUGGCUCAACAGCAGCUACCGUAUUCUCAGCCGGCGCAGACUUUGCCAGUUGUGCAGCAGCAGCAGUUGCAGUAUGGACAACAGCAACAACAGCAGCAACAGACAGUUCCUACGCAGAUGGCCGCAGGUCACGUUAAGCCGGUGAACCAAAACUCUGUUACGGGGGCUAUGCCAGACUACAUUCAACAUCAGCAGAUCCUUCAAACUCCAGCCCCUGCCAUGCAGCCUAGUUCUACAGGGGUGGGAGCAGGGCAACCGGUUCCUGUUGCCCAGGCACAGAGCAUGCAGCCUUCAGUACAAGCACAUCCAGCCGCUGCCCCGGCUCAGCCUGUUGCACACGCUCCAGCAGCGAUACCAGGUGUAGGUACCAGUGGUCAAAUGCUGAAUGUUGGGCAGCAAGGAAGCGUAGCCGCUGUGGUGCAACCACCAUCUGCUGCAAACCAAAUUCCACCUCCAGUUAUGCCGUCAACGGCUGCUCCUCCACCUUCACAAGUAGUGCAGCCUGUGCAGACAGGAAUAAUGCAGCAGGGAUUGCAGGCUAGCGCUUCAGGCCUUCCUCAGCAAAUGGUCAUUGCUCAGCAAAACACCUUGUUACCUGUACAGCCGCAGGCACAAGGAGUGGAAUCUGUAGUCCAAGGGAUGACUGGCCAGCAGCUGCCUGCGGUUAGCCCUAUACCUUCUGCUAGUACUGUUCCUGCACCAAGUCAAGCUGGUUCAGCUGUGCCUCCUGGCAUACCUUCUGCUUCUAUAGGUUUGGGACAGCCACAGAAUAUGGCACAAGCUUCGGCUGUGCAGAAUGGGAAUUUGGCUCAAAGUGUUAGUCAGCCUCCCUUGAUAUCAACAAGUAUAGGUAUGCCAGUGGCACAGAGUGUGCCACAGCAGAUGCCGCUAAGCUCUACCCAGUUCCCUGCACAAUCACUAGCUCAGUCAAUUGUAAGCCAAACUGAAGACGGCAGACGCCCUACAGAACCUUCCUUAGUGGGUUUACCUCAAGCUGCCAGUGGCGAGAGUGGUGUUGGAGCAUCAGCCGUUUCAGAUGGUGGUAGCAGCAACAUGCCCUCUUCUGCUUCCCUCUUUCCGCUGAAGGUGCUGCCAUUGACAACGCCUCUCGGAGUAGAUGGUGAGGAUGAGAGAUACAGAAUGACAGUCAAACACUGCACACUGGUAUGCCUGUGAAGAGGCACUGCCAAAGUUAAUUGUCUCUAGUGCAAAAGCUGGGAGUUCUGGCUGAUCAAAGCAGGUUCUGCAGAUAGACUGGCUGAAAGACCCUGACCAGAGAAGUGUAGGGAAUUAUGUGAAGAUUGAGAACUCACUAUGAAAAAUGAUGCUUUAAAAAAAGAAAAGUGUAAGAAAUUCAUGUAAGCUAAUUGCAUGUAAACGGAAUUGGAUUAAAUCAAGCAAGCCAUGUAUUAAGAGCUAAAAAGGAAAGUACAAAGACACUGUUAAUAUUAAACUACAGAUUAUAUGUAGUUUCUUCAAGGUAUACGUAAAUACUGUAACGUUUGUUGCUAUAGUUGGCUUUCUUAAGGAGGAAAAAAGUGAACAAUCUGACAUCAUACAAUGUCUUAGAAACACUGGUGUGGUUUUUUGUUUUUUUUUUUUUUUUUUUUUUAAAUAUUGGCUCAUGCACUCUGACCAGAAGCAUAGAAUUUCCCUAAGGCUGAAUGAAGGUCUGUCUUUAUGACAAAUGUAUAUUAGGGCCAGUAAAGUCUGUUGAAACUGAUUUAAAAUGUGGUUUAGUUGGGCCAAAAAAAGGUUUGCUCUCGACUGUACUUGGCAUACAAAGUUGACAAGAAACAAAAAGCGUGUUAAUAAAGACAUUUAAAAAUCUUCUUGUGAUGUAAACAGUUUUAAAAACGAAAAGUAAUUAUAACAUCGUUAAAGAAAUGGGUAUUUGUUAAAAUCUAUGAAAUUGAUGCAUCUAUUAAUGGGAGUUAUGUUUAAAAGGUAGUAUUUUCUAUAAUCAACCAAUCGUUCAAUUUUAUAGCCCUAGCAUUUUCCUGCUGUUACAUAUGCGCCAAGAAAUACUGUCUGUGUUUCUCAAAUGGGUAUUGCUGUGACAGUUAUAUACAAUUUUGGAAUUCUUUGUCAUCCUGAGUUCAGAAAAGCCGUAGCUUUUUACCACUCCUAAACUGGCAAUAGGAAGUGUCUUUCAGGGAUUGGUACCUACGCUGGUCUUGAGUAGGUAUUGUCCGACGCCUUGUCUGAUAAUCUAGACAACGCUGUGGCCCUCUCUGGUUUUUAGUAGGCCUUUAGAGAAGUUGAGCACCAAACAUUUCUGGAGAGAGGCCAACUGCUUUAAAACAAAUUCUGAAAUUCAGAAAGUCAAGGUUCCUACUGUUCUAUUUUUCUGCAAGUUUAGCUUUUAAUGAUGGGCUGUGUGACACAAUCUUUUGAAAUCAACACUUUGAUCAAUGUUUUGCUGCCUUUUCUUCAUCUUGGGACUUGAUAACAUUAUCUGGUAUAGCUGUUGUAAUGCUCAAUGACUUCUUCCCUUCUUUCUCAUCAAGUCCCCUCCUCCCCUUCUCUCCAAAAAACCCCAAACUAGGAAGGUUGGAGAAACUAGUAUUUUUUUCAUAGUGUCAGUAGCUUGGAAUUUAAACAGUCAGCCUUACAUCACUCCUGUUGAUACUUUAAUAUGCAUGUCACGUUGGUGCUAGUUUCCAGGAGAGAGAUGCUUUACUAAAAUUUGUUGUUCUUGUAAUGUUUAUUUUGAAUAACAGUUCAACUGGAUGCUGGUGCAUAGAUCCUGCAGUGGGUUUGCAGCCUGCACAUAUUUCUAGAGAACUACCAGUGCCUUUCCUGACUUCAUCUAUAUCUGAAGAUCAUCAACAUAUGUUGUUCUUGUGUCAUCACAGCCAUAAUUUCUUCCUGCUCCAACUAGAAGGAUCCCAUCACAGCCUGCACUUGAGGUAAAUCAGCAAACUCUAUGGUACAGUGACUGAGAAGAGCUGUUGUUAAGCCAGCUUAAGGAGCUGAACAUACAUCUUACCCAUCUCAGUAGCGUGAAUCAUUUCUGAUGACUGAUGCGAGGCAACAAAAAAACCUCUCCCAAAAUUCCCAUGAGGGAUUCAGGUACUUUGGAUGGUCUAUUCUAGACCUCUUUUCCAUUCUUUUAAAUCUUUCGAAGAGCAAAGGAGCAUUUAUUAGCAUUUCUCAUCUCAAAAUGCAGAAAGAUGUUGUUGUUUCAACAUCAUAUGCCUGAAAUACAUAUCUGCAUAUAGGAAAUAAUCAGGCUAGUAUUUUUGAUAGCUAGAACACAAAAAUUAUCAGCCUUGUGUAUUCUUUAGAAUUCAAGACAAGUCUGUUCAAGGGAAGAAAGAUGUAUGAAAGGAUAAAAAUCAGAAGUAAAGGGUUCUCCCUUUCUUGGAAAAGGAGAGAUACUGUGACCUUGGUGUAAGGAAAGGCAUUUAAAAACAAGUUAUUCCUAACAGCAUGUUUCAGAUUGAUCUUCCAGAAACUGUUUUGUUGUUCAGCUAUUUCCAUGAGGGAAAACAGCAAUGGACAAAAUCUUCAUAAAUGCUCUUUUUUUCUUCUUAAAUUUUACAUUGGAUCUUUGUGUCUUCUACUGAACUGCUACAUGAAGAGAAUAAGACCAAGUAAUCCUCUCUUCUACACUCCUGAAACUUCAAUAGGUGAUUUCAUACUGUGCAGUAUAUUGAAGGUGAUCUGGAGUCUUUUUCCAGUGAGUAGGAUCUUUCCCUGGUGAAAGAGGAUUUCUCAAAGACAGCCUUGUCUUGAUAUUACAGGCCCUAGGCAGAUUCCUGUUUGAAAGGAACCUGCAAUAAGCUGGGUCGUGCUGCUUCAUCUGGGUUGAUUUGCUCUGAUACCUUCUAUUGCUUAAGAGCUGGAAAAGAAUAUUGACUUCAGAAGUGUUAGUAGUGUUUGUAGGCUUCAACACAUCACCUGAAAUUAAGCCUAUAAUGCUCUAUGUGGCAUUGUAGUUAUGAAUUCUAAGUAACAAGUAUUAGCAACUUGAAAAGUUCCUGAGAUUCAAGGUAUUGCAAGUUACCUGGUAAAAAAGAACCUUCUACUCACAAGAGAAUGUUAAGAAGAAAUGUGCUUUUAAUUAUGCUGUCCUUUUAUGAUAGCUUCUUAGCCAGCAAGUACAGAGCAGUAAAAAUUUGCAUUGAAUAUGUUCUGUUUAUUAUGUUUUAUCUUUUUAUCUUUAUCUUGUAUCCUCUACCUUACUGGAAGAGGAGAGUGUAAACGUCAGCCUGGGGACAUCUGUUGGCCAAGUACCUAUGUGUGUGUGUUGGUCAGUUAUUCUUUCCAAACAGAAAGACCGUCUUUCACAAAAAAAAAAAUGCACGUGGGAUGAAAAGACUGAACCUGAGUCUCUAACCUUUGAAAGCUGAUCUGAAAUAAUCAAAAAGGCAAUGUUGUAUCAAAUUGUAAAGGUAUAGGAACACAUCUCAGUCUCAUGUUGUUGAAAAGUCAUGAAAUUCCACCAAAAGGCAAUCCUAUUAUUUCUGUGAUAUAGUCUUGCUAUUUAGAGUAAAUCUCUUAGAUUGAGAUACCAUCACCGUAUUCAAUAUCCUCAGAGGAACCAAGAAGCAGAGUAUCUUUCUGCAUGCCCAAGCAGUUUCUCUGGAAGAAGCUUGCUGAUUUUUCUGUUUUAAUUACUGUAGGAUAUUGGGUUCUGUCCUUGACAGCUUUAUCUGUCACCUGUUAAAAUAAAAAGGAAAUUUUCCUGUCUGCUACUCUAACUGCAAAAAUUAAAGAUGCCUUUUUAAAAAUAUAUUAUUGCUCUGGUUUUAAUGACAAAGCCUAGCUUUUUUCCAACUUCUCCUUGUAUUAUUUGGAGCACAAUCAAGGAAAGUUUCUUUGAGUAGGGGAAAGCUUAUAAUUGAAGGACACAUGAGAUACCUAACCAUAUAAAGCUAUUUUGUUUAGGUGUGUUCUCUAAAGGAGAGAAUGAAGAAACACCACCAAAAUUGCCCCCAAAUUAAUUAAGUGAAAUUGCAUCAGACGUAAUGACUAGCAUACCUCCUUGGUUAACUAUUAGAUAAUACUCUACCUGUUGUCUUGAGAGCAAUGAAGAGCACUGCAAGUAAAAUGAUAGUGCCUCAUCUGAGGCACGCAGCACAACGGCUGCCCGACUUGCAAAUACCAGACACUGUUGCUGUUGUGCAAAAGCUGCCCACAAAAGUAAAGAACCAGUGUGAGAGUUUGAAGAAAGAACCCGCUCAGAGGACUGAGUCUCAAGCAAAAGCUCCAGGUUGCAGACUCAGAAAGAAACUUCCUUUGGGGAAGGAUCUGCUUCCAGGAUUUGCUCGUCUCUUUUUCCUUGGGCAAAGAGAGUUCUUGAAGCAAACAACAGGGUUGCAGGACACCUUCUAACCUUUAUACUGCAUCACAAGCCUUCAGCAGAAGAUCUUGAGAGCCAUUUAUGUUGCUGGAAGAUGACUGGGUUUGGAUCUUGGCCUUCCUUAAGCAGGAUCUCCUGACAAAAAUGGGAUUGGGAAAGAAAUGACUACUUUUUCCAUCACACAGAGCCACCCUAGAAAUGGAGGCCUAGGCAGAAAAUUACUUAUAACGCAUCAUUCUUUAGGAAAUUUGUUUGGCCUCCCAUGGUCCUUUUGUUACAGUGUCAUGAAGAUGUCUUUUACAAAACCUAAACCUGGCAUCUUCCUAUCUGAAGAUCAAGUCAAUAAAUCCAAGUUUAAGAGUUCACAGGUCUAAUGUGAUCGGAUCUUGCUGUCCCCUGCAUAGGAGAUGCCGUGUGAAUCUGUAAAACAGGGUUCUGCUGUGGUUCAGAUUGUUAUAUUUGUAAAGCCUUUUCUACUACAGUCCAUUUAAAUGAUGGGAAAUAAUAAAGCUUCUUGUGAAAAUGGUAUUUAAUUAGGCUUCUACCUCUCCAAGUUUACUCAAAUAAAUUUGAGCCAAAAAUGUCACAAUGGCAAUAUGGGAAGUACUGCAUCUUUUGAGGUUUCCUAUGGUUUCGUGUCGAGAAAAGGUAGGUUGGAAGUCUUGAGAGCUAUGAAAGUGGAAAAAACUUAGGUGGUUUUUUUUUUUUCUUUGAGAGUGGAAAGUUAUUUGUUAGAAAGCAGAAAGCUUUUAAUUGUUUUCCCCCUAAGGGAUUCUAUAGUCAAACUUAAUGUCUUGCGAGAUCUCAAAUAAAAACCUUAUGUUUGGCAGUAGUGAACAACA
Molecule: RNA transcript, 7878 nt
Organism: Harpia harpyja (harpy eagle)
Lineage: Eukaryota; Metazoa; Chordata; Aves; Accipitriformes; Accipitridae
Gene: TSC22D1
Gene name: TSC22 domain family member 1
Exons: 6
Source: RefSeq, a predicted model, not a curated record